This 253-nucleotide ribosomal RNA is filed under the name uncultured bacterium. RNAcentral describes it as "partial 16S ribosomal RNA". It matches the Rfam family "Bacterial small subunit ribosomal RNA", at positions 524 to 776 of the family's 1533-position model. The record is from RNAcentral.
GACGAACCGUGCGAAUGUUGUUCGGAAUUACUGGGCGUAAAGUGUGCGCAGGCGGCCGCGCAAGUCGAGUGUGAAAUCCCCGAGCUUAACUUGGGAAUUGCGCUCGAAACUACGUGGCUGGAGUGUGGCAGAGGAAGGUGGAAUUCCACGUGUAGCGGUGAAAUGCGUAGAUAUGUGGAGGAACACCGAUGGCGAAGGCAGCCUUCUGGGCCAACACUGACGCUCAUGCACGAAAGCGUGGGGAGCAAACAGG